AUGCUUCGAUAUUGUGCCCUGCAUCUUAUUUACCCAGAAUCCAUAUACAUGUUCAAUAAAUUCUUUGGGUGGAAUAUCUGCAUAUUUGGUGUAGCUCUCCUUUCCUGCCAUUAUUUGCAAGAUUAUAAUGCCCAUACUGAAUACAUCAAAUUUUGGUGUGAUUUGCCGUUUGCUGAUGUAUUCUGGUGGCAUGUAUACCUUGUUUGCGCAACUUCUGAUGUAUUGAAGGUUUCUGUUGUAUCAAAGAGUCUAGAGAAGCCAAAACCUCCAAUUUUGGGUAUCAUGUCGUUAUCCAGCAAAAUCUUGUUAGGUUUUAAUUCCAGAUGGUAA
Molecule: ribosomal RNA, 330 nt
Filed under: Triticum aestivum (bread wheat)
Lineage: Eukaryota; Viridiplantae; Streptophyta; Magnoliopsida; Poales; Poaceae
Description: partial small subunit ribosomal RNA
Source: RNAcentral